AAUUAUGUAUACAAUAAAAAUGAUACACACAAAUUCAGCAAAGUGAACAACAAGCUCUAACGCUUAAGUGAAGGAAUCCCUUAACCUCCACAACGUAAAACAUGCAAAACAAACAAAGUAUAAGCGGAGCUCUGUAUUACCUGUAUAAACAAUGGUAUAUUGAAGAUGAAUAUAAUAUUAUUCAAAAUAAGAAUCUGUAAAUAAAUGAUCACAGAUCUAAGUGCAGACAAUAG
This is a non-coding RNA of Pelobates cultripes (western spadefoot toad), 233 nucleotides long. NCBI's taxonomy places the organism in Eukaryota, Metazoa, Chordata, Amphibia, Anura, Pelobatidae. The record is from the annotation of a GenBank genome assembly.